Molecule: long non-coding RNA, 817 nt
Organism: Dermacentor andersoni
Lineage: Eukaryota; Metazoa; Arthropoda; Arachnida; Ixodida; Ixodidae
Source: RefSeq, a predicted model, not a curated record
CCUUGUCCUGGUGGAAACUGUACAGCUGGUGGAAACCUACAGCCAAUAAGGCAACCCUCGCCUUUCUACGAUGGUCACAGUAACGAAAUAUUAAAGCUAGAACAAUUUGGAAGUAAAUGAAGUAUAACUGAGAUAGCAUGACAAUUUCAAAUAAGAUAUAGGCUUAUGUCACGUUAGCACAGCUAGUACAUUUUUUAGGGCUAAAAGCCCAGAGCGGACUCUCGAGAGGAUCUAAGGCUGUCGAAACGGCGUUUUUAUAUACGAUGACAGUAUAGGAAUAAAUUACCAAUAGUUUCAUAUUCAUUACAAAAAUGCUGCCAAGUGGUGGUCUUGUUUUUCUUCUUCAUCCUUCUGUCGACCCCAGUGCAGAGUAACACAUUGUAGCUCAAGAUCUUUUCACACCUCUGAUAAGUUUUUCUGUAUAUGUGUGCUAGCUAGACUGCGAUCUCAUGCGCGCACACGAGGGGAAUGCGAGCUGCAAUGUAACAAAACAUUUCAUUGAUAAUAGCGCAGCGUUUACAUCGAUCGAGAAGAAAGAAAAAGCGUGCUUGCGAGUAUGAGGGUUUUCGCACCCCGGCCGCGUCCAGCUGACAUGGACUACAGACUUCGAAGCUCGGCAUGUACGGCCGCUUGCUGUAUAAUUGCAGCUAUCGUGUUCUUCACGGUUGUUGCUGGAGCUCUCAGCCUCAGUGCAGCAGGAAAUUUCAGCGUGGAAGCACGUGGUGUCAAGCCCACAGUAAUGAGCGUUUUCGAAGCAGACCGGAUUUUAGGUUUCAACGAUAGCGCGCUUUUUCGAAAAUAAAGUCACUAAAAUGCA